This 107-nucleotide small RNA is filed under the name Marmota monax (woodchuck). The record is from RNAcentral. Lineage: Eukaryota; Metazoa; Chordata; Mammalia; Rodentia; Sciuridae.
GCCAGGCAUGGUGGUGCAUGCCUGUAAUCCCAGCAACUCAGGAGGCUGAGACAAGAGGAUCACGAGUUCAAAGCCAGUCUCAGUAACUUAGCAAGACCCUGUUUCAA